AGAGUUUGAUCCUGGCUCAGAACGAACGCUGGCGGCGUGCUUAACACAUGCAAGUCGAACGGAAUUAGGGGCUUGCUCCUAAUUUAGUGGCGCACGGGUGAGUAACGCGUGGAUAACCUACCCUGGUAUCUGGGAUAACAUCUCGAAAGGGGUGCUAAUACCGGAUAAGCCCACGGGAACUUUGGUUCUUGCGGGAAAAGGUGGCCUCUAUUUAUAAGCUACUGUAUCAGGAUGGGUCCGCGUACCAUUAGCUAGUUGGUAGUGUAAUGGACUACCAAGGCUACGAUGGUUAGCUGGUCUGAGAGGAUGAUCAGCCACACUGGAACUGAGACACGGUCCAGACUCCUACGGGAGGCAGCAGUGGGGAAUUUUGCGCAAUGGGGGAAACCCUGACGCAGCAACGCCGCGUGAGUGAUGAAGGCCUUCGGGUCGUAAAGCUCUGUCAGAGGGGAAGAAGUGU
RNAcentral lists this ribosomal RNA (460 nucleotides) under uncultured bacterium. RNAcentral's name for it is "bacterial SSU rRNA". It matches the Rfam family "Bacterial small subunit ribosomal RNA", at positions 8 to 453 of the family's 1533-position model. The record is from RNAcentral.